Molecule: ribosomal RNA, 669 nt
Filed under: Hepatozoon canis
Lineage: Eukaryota; Apicomplexa; Hepatozoidae
Description: SSU rRNA
Rfam family: Eukaryotic small subunit ribosomal RNA
Source: RNAcentral
UUAUACAUGAGCAAAAUCUCAACUUUAUUAGAAGAGACGCAUUUAUUAGAUAAAAAGCCAGUUCAUGCUUUUACAGUAUGAAAAUUGGUGAUUUAUAAUAACUUAGCAAAUCGCAAAGUGAAAACAGGCGAUAAAUCAUUCAAGUUUCUGACCUAUCAGCUUUCGACGGUAUGGUAUUGGCUUACCGUGGCAGUGACGGUUAACGGGGGAUUAGGGUUCGAUUCCGGAGAGGGAGCCUGAGAAACGGCUACCACAUCUAAGGAAGGCAGCAGGCGCGCAAAUUACCCAAUUCUAACAGUUUGAGAGAGGUAGUAACAAGAAAUAACAAUACAAGGCAGUUAAAAUGCUUUGUAAUUGGAAUGAUAGAAAUUUAAACCCUUUUUAAAGUAUCAAUUGGAGGGCAAGUCUGGUGCCAGCAGCCGCGGUAAUUCCAGCUCCAAUAGCGUAUAUUAAAAUUGUUGCAGUUAAAAAGCUCGUAGUUGAAGUUCUGCUGAAAGUAACCGGUCUGCUUUUAAUAAAAGUGGUAUCUUGGUAUGUAUUUAGCAAUGAUGUCCUUUGAAGUGUUUUUUACUUUAUUGUAAUAAAGCAUAUUCAGGACUUUUACUUUGAGAAAAUUAGAGUGUUUCUAGCAGGCUAACGCUUUGAAUACUGCAGCAUGGAAUAAUAAGA